GGACGAAAGUCUGAUGGAGCAACGCCGCGUGAGUGAAGAAGGGUUUCGGCUCGUAAAGCUCUNUUGGUAGUGAAGAAAGAUAGAGGUAGUUAACUGGCCUUUAUUUGACGGUAAUUACUUAGAAAGUCACGGCUAACUACGUGCC
This 145-nucleotide ribosomal RNA is filed under the name uncultured bacterium. RNAcentral's name for it is "partial 16S ribosomal RNA". It matches the Rfam family "Bacterial small subunit ribosomal RNA", at positions 373 to 509 of the family's 1533-position model. The record is from RNAcentral.